GAUGAAGAACGUAGCGAAAUGCGAUAAGUAAUGCGAAUUGCAGAAUUCAGUGAAUCAUCGAAUCUUUGAACGCACAUUGCGCCCGCCAGCAUUCUGGCGGGCAUGCCUGUUCGAGCGUCAUUUCAACCCUCAAGCUCUGCUUGGUGUUGGGGCCCUACGGUUGACGUAGGCCCUUAAAGGUAGUGGCGGACCCUCUCGGAGCCUCCUUUGCGUAGUAACUAACGUCUCGCAUUGGGAUUCGGAGGGACUCUUGCCGUAAAACCCCCAAAUUUUCUAAUGGUUGACCUCGGAUCAGGUAGGAAUACCCGCUGAACUUAAGCAUAUCAAUAAGCGGAGGA
Molecule: unclassified non-coding RNA, 338 nt
Filed under: soil metagenome
Description: partial contains 5.8S ribosomal RNA, internal transcribed spacer 2, and large subunit ribosomal RNA
Rfam family: 5.8S ribosomal RNA (bases 1-120)
Source: RNAcentral